CUGGGUCUCAAUGUAACGUGCAUCCCCGUGGGGGGUGUCGUCAGAAAAAUCUGAACACCACUGAACUUGGCUUUUCCCAUGACUCUGAGAGUGCUUCUUAGACAAAUGAGCUUUCCUGAUCUCAAAGCUACAAUAAGAGGACCUAAAAGUCAAAGAAAAUAAAGACAGAAUGUUUCACUGGCCACUGGCACUUGGCCAGGAUGCAGAGACUCUACAGUGGCAACACCUGACAGCCAAAAGUCCG
Molecule: long non-coding RNA, 244 nt
Organism: Homo sapiens (human)
Lineage: Eukaryota; Metazoa; Chordata; Mammalia; Primates; Hominidae
Exons: 3
Source: RefSeq, a predicted model, not a curated record